RNAcentral lists this ribosomal RNA (584 nucleotides) under Termitomyces heimii. RNAcentral describes it as "partial large subunit ribosomal RNA". It matches the Rfam family "Eukaryotic large subunit ribosomal RNA", at positions 1 to 582 of the family's 3401-position model. The record is from RNAcentral. Lineage: Eukaryota; Fungi; Basidiomycota; Agaricomycetes; Agaricales; Lyophyllaceae.
UUGACCUCAAAUCAGGUAGGACUACCCGCUGAACUUAAGCAUAUCAAUAAGCGGAGGAAAAGAAACUAACAAGGAUUCCCCUAGUAACUGCGAGUGAAGCGGGAAAAGCUCAAAUUUAAAAUCUGGUAGUCUCUGGCUGCCCGAGUUGUAAUCUAGAGAAGCAUUAUCCGCGCUGGACCGUGUAUAAGUGUCCUGGAAUGGACCAUCAUAGAGGGUGAGAAUCCCGUCUUUGACACGGACUCCCAGGGCUUUGUGAUGUGCUCUCAAAGAGUCGAGUUGUUUGGGAAUGCAGCUCUAAAUGGGUGGUAAAUUCCAUCUAAAGCUAAAUAUUGGCGAGAGACCGAUAGCGAACAAGUACCGUGAGGGAAAGAUGAAAAGAACUUUGGAAAGAGAGUUAAACAGUACGUGAAAUUGCUGAAAGGGAAACGCUUGAAGUCAGUCGCGUUAGCUGGGGAUCAACCUUGCUUUUCUGCUUGGCUUACUUCCCAGUUGACGGGUCAGCAUCAGUUUUGACCAAUGGAUAAAGGCUAGGGGGAAUGUGGGCACCUCCGGGUGUGUUAUAGCCCCUUGGUCAUAUACAUUGG